Molecule: ribosomal RNA, 815 nt
Filed under: uncultured bacterium
Lineage: Bacteria
Description: bacterial SSU rRNA
Rfam family: Bacterial small subunit ribosomal RNA
Source: RNAcentral
CCUGGCUCAGAGCGAACGCUGGCGGCAGGCCUAACACAUGCAAGUCGAACGGACCCUUCGGGGUUAGUGGCGGACGGGUGAGUAACACGUGGGAACGUGCCUUUAGGUUCGGAAUAGCUCCUGGAAACGGGUGGUAAUGCCGAAUGUGCCCUUCGGGGGAAAGAUUUAUCGCCUUUAGAGCGGCCCGCGUCUGAUUAGCUAGUUGGUGAGGUAAUGGCUCACCAAGGCGACGAUCAGUAGCUGGUCUGAGAGGAUGACCAGCCACAUUGGGACUGAGACACGGCCCAAACUCCUACGGGAGGCAGCAGUGGGGAAUCUUGCGCAAUGGGCGAAAGCCUGACGCAGCCAUGCCGCGUGAAUGAUGAAGGUCUUAGGAUUGUAAAAUUCUUUCACCGGGGACGAUAAUGACGGUACCCGGAGAAGAAGCCCCGGCUAACUUCGUGCCAGCAGCCGCGGUAAUACGAAGGGGGCUAGCGUCGCUCGGAAUUACUGGGCGUAAAGGGCGCGUAGGCGGACAUUUAAGUCAGGGGUGAAAUCCCAGAGCUCAACUCUGGAACUGCCUUUGAUACUGGGUGUCUUGAGUGUGAGAGAGGUACGUGGAACUCCGAGUGUAGAGGUGAAAUUCGUAGAUAUUCGGAAGAACACCAGUGGCGAAGGCGACAUACUGGCUCAUUACUGACGCUGAGGCGCGAAAGCGUGGGGAGCAAACAGGAUUAGAUACCCUGGUAGUCCACGCCGUAAACGAUGAUUGCUAGUUGUCGGGCUGCAUGCAGUUCGGUGACGCAGCUAACGCAUUAAGCAAUCCGCCUGGGGAG